This is a long non-coding RNA of Fundulus heteroclitus (mummichog), 480 nucleotides long. RefSeq lists it as uncharacterized. The record is from RefSeq and is a predicted model, not a curated record. The transcript is spliced from 2 exons. NCBI's taxonomy places the organism in Eukaryota, Metazoa, Chordata, Actinopteri, Cyprinodontiformes, Fundulidae.
AAGGGCCUCGGACCUCAUAACCAUACAGCAAUUCAAAUGGUGAAAAACCAGUGGAGGCCUGUGGCACUUCUCGAUAUGCAAAGAGAAGGGGACCAACAAUGUCCAUUCCCAGCCGUUCAAAUGGGGUGUUGAUAAUUGGUAACGACUGAAGAGGAGCUCUGGAGGGGAUCUUCAGAGAAGACUUUUGGCACUGAGGGCAGCCUUUGCAGAACAAAGCCACAUCAGCUUGUAUUCCAGGCCAGAAAAAAUAUUUUCUGAUGCGGGCCAUUGUCUUGUGCUUUCCAAGAUGGCCAGCCCAUGGAAUGGAGUGCCCUAAGGACAACACCAGCUUCUGGACUGGUCUAGGAACCACCAACUGCAAUGCUGACCCCUGUUGACCAUACAGGAUGCCAUCUUUCAAAAAAAAUUCCUCCCGCUUGGUUGAACCUUGUUCAGGUUGUUGGUUUCCCUCUGCUUUCUGAAAUAAAGGCGUUAAAGCUG